RNAcentral lists this long non-coding RNA (274 nucleotides) under Hordeum vulgare. RNAcentral describes it as "long non-coding RNA (HVUL_LNC018588)". The record is from RNAcentral. Lineage: Eukaryota; Viridiplantae; Streptophyta; Magnoliopsida; Poales; Poaceae.
GGGUGAUGGCCCUCCGGCGAUGGCCAUUUAAUCUUAUCAUAAAUCUUCUUAAAGUUUAUUUUAAAGACUACCCCAUCAAAUUUCUGUAAGUGAACAUUAUGUAAUGUUUCAUAUAGGACGAUCACAUCUCUAAUAUGUAUCGGCCCGACAUGAAUGUCGUCUGAGUCAGUUGGAUCAUACUAUGCGCAAUAUGUGUCACGUGAUUCAUACCGAUUCUUGUAAAGAAAAAUUUGUUGAAAAUAUGCCCUAGAGGCAAUAAUAAAAUGGUUAUUAU